UAAGGUUGGGUUAGGUAAGGUUAGGUUAGGUUAGGUAAGGUUAGGUUAGGUAAGAUUGGGUAAGGUUAGGUAAGGUUAGGUUAGGUAAGAUUGGGUAAGGUUAGGUAAGGUUAGGCUAGGUUAGGUAAGGUAAGGUACAGCAAGGUAAGGUUAGUUUAGGUAAGGUUAGGUUAGGUUAGGUAAGGGAAGGGAAGGGAAGGGAAGGUUAGGUUAGGUAACAUAAGGUAAGUUCAACUCUAUUAAGAUAAGGUAAGGUCAUUCUCACUAACAAUAUAGAUUCUUGAAACACAAUUAUAUCUGGCUUUAGAACACAUUAAGGUAAGGUAAGGUAAGGUUAGGUAAGGUAAGUUCAACUCUAUUAAGGUAAAAUAAGGUCAUUCUCACUGACAAUAUAGAUUCUUGAAACACAAUUAUAUCUGGCUUUAGAACACAUUAAGGUAAGGGAAGGGAAGGGAAGGGAAGGGAAGGGAAGGGAAGGUAAGGGAAGGUUAGGUAAGUUCAACUCUAUUAAGGUAAAAUAAGGUCAUUGCCACUGAACAAUAUAGAUUCUUGAAACACAAUUAUAUCUGGCUUUAGAACACAUUAAGGUAAGGGAAGGUAAGGUAAGGUAAGGUUAGGUAAGGUAAGUUCAACUCUAUUAAGGUAAAAUAAGGUCAUUCU
Long non-coding RNA from Eriocheir sinensis (Chinese mitten crab), 660 nucleotides. RefSeq lists it as uncharacterized. The record is from RefSeq and is a predicted model, not a curated record. NCBI's taxonomy places the organism in Eukaryota, Metazoa, Arthropoda, Malacostraca, Decapoda, Varunidae. The transcript is spliced from 2 exons.